This 400-nucleotide ribosomal RNA is filed under the name phytoplankton environmental sample. RNAcentral describes it as "partial small subunit ribosomal RNA". It matches the Rfam family "Eukaryotic small subunit ribosomal RNA", at positions 587 to 950 of the family's 1831-position model. The record is from RNAcentral.
AGCUCCAAUAGCGUAUAUUAAAGUUGUUGCAGUUAAAAAGCUCGUAGUUGAAUUUCUGGACUGGACGGCGGUCCACCACCCUUUUCUUUUGGUGUGGUGCGAACUAGCAUGUUUUUCCAGGCCAUCAUUUGUGGGGUGCAGUGCGUCUCCUUAAUUGGUUGUUGCGUGCUGUGGUCGCUUCGCGUGGCAAGCCCCACAUCGAUUACUGUGAACAAAUUAGAGUGUUUAAAGCAGGCGUUUUGCUUGAAUACAUUAGCAUGGAAUAAUGGAAUAGGACCUCGGUCCCUAUUUCGUUGGUUUUACGGACCGAAGUAAUGAUUAAGAGGGACAAUUGGGGGCAUCCGUAUUUCGUAGUCAGAGGUGAAAUUCUUGGACCUACGAAAGACGAACAACUGCGAAA